AGCAUCACAUUAUACUAGGAACAGUGUUUCAAUGGCCAGAACAAAUGCUAAAAAUCCUUCUGGGUGGCAGGAUGCUUUACCCAACAUGGUUCCACAUGCAUAUGCUCAUCCAAGCCCCUCCCAGCCCAACAUGGGCAGUGCCACUUUAAACAUGGUGCCUCCUCGACCUGAAGUGUAUAGCCAGCCUAUUCCGCAGUCAAACCAUGGCCAAAACAUUUAUCAGAAUCAAAGUCAAAAUGUUGUCAAUUCGAGUUUUCCUGAUUUUGACUAUAAUUGGAUUAGCAACUUGAGUGAAAGCAAUGAGCAAGUUUCAGCUGAAAAUAUCCAUCCACAUGCCACAGGGUCCAACAAAGAGCCCACAUCAGUCGAGCAGUUUAGUUCCUACUUUGCUGAAAACACCGAACUACACCAGAAGGACCAUGAUUAUGAGAGCUGGUA
This 438-nucleotide unclassified non-coding RNA is filed under the name Hevea brasiliensis (rubber tree). The record is from RNAcentral. Lineage: Eukaryota; Viridiplantae; Streptophyta; Magnoliopsida; Malpighiales; Euphorbiaceae.